RNAcentral lists this small RNA (75 nucleotides) under Chitinimonas taiwanensis DSM 18899. RNAcentral's name for it is "isrK Hfq binding RNA". It matches the Rfam family "isrK Hfq binding RNA". Lineage: Bacteria; Pseudomonadati; Pseudomonadota; Betaproteobacteria; Neisseriales; Chitinibacteraceae. The record is from Rfam by way of RNAcentral.
GUCGCGGUCAAUCCCGCGACCGGGAUUGGCGUCCCGAUUGCUAUGGCGGACAACCGCCUUCAGAGCGGUUUUUUU